AUCUCACAAAUCAUUCCAGGUGCUUCCCUGCCAGGCCUUCCACGGGACUCUUCCUGUAACUUCCCAAUCCCGGCUCCAGUUUUAGGAGUCAUCAUUCCCCAGGAUAAGAUCGAGGAGAUGGACCUCAGCCAGAGAGAAAAAAAAAUCCUGCUUUCCAGAAGCAGACUUUCCCAGCCUCCUGCUUAUGUGUGCUCGUCAAGGAUGAGGUCGACCCGGAAUACACAGAAGGAACGACGGACCUUUAUCCUGCGGUCGCAUCCGGCACAUUUUGGCAAAGAGCUUCCGAGACCGAGUGCGUCGUCCAGGAAAAUCCGAAAAGAGUGUGACGGGAGACUGUAAACAAGCCUCUCCGCUACGUCUUAGGCAUGGAAAAACCCCGACUCGCCGUAACCCACGCAGAGCGGCCCCGCCCUACCUCGUUGCUUUGAUCGUACAGAGGUCGACCACCACAUGGCGGAGCUGCCAGCUCCAGCGAGCGUCCCAUCCCAAGGACGAGUGCGUGUCUCUCUCGCCUGGAACAUCCUUAAAAUGUCCCCAAAACAUCCUAGGCCCUUGGCACCAACUACUCCAGCAUCUGCUCUCAAUACGUGGAAGAUGUGGAGGCCGGCGACUUGGAAACAUCCAAGGACCGCUGUGGUAUGGCAUGUCAUCGUUGCUGUCCCAUCCCUCUCUCUCACUAUUUUUCUCCGGCCCCAUCUAAAGGAGCUCAUCUGCAUAGAUCAUCAUGACUUCGGCGCACGCGGACAAUGCUAAUGUCACGGUCAGGGACACGCCGAGACCGACAAGUGCGUCCCACAGUUCAGGGCCGAUUCUCUGUUCCUAGCCAAACCGAUGCUCGAUGGUACAUGUGCAUUUCAUUCACUGAGCACGUUUCACUCGAUCCAUCGAUACACAGACUCCGCAAAAAUGCGAAACGCUCAAAGGGACAGCAGUGAGCCCCUUGGAAUGAGUCAUUCUCGCUAUUGCUUCAUACGCUCGUGAAUAUUCACCAUCUAACCCAGUUUACUUUGUGUGUUAAUGCACAGCAGUGGCAUAUUCAUCAAGCCAUCCAGA
This is a long non-coding RNA of Brienomyrus brachyistius, 1053 nucleotides long. RefSeq lists it as uncharacterized. The record is from RefSeq and is a predicted model, not a curated record. The transcript has 3 exons. NCBI's taxonomy places the organism in Eukaryota, Metazoa, Chordata, Actinopteri, Osteoglossiformes, Mormyridae.